This 29-nucleotide non-coding RNA is filed under the name Rattus norvegicus (Norway rat). The record is from RNAcentral. Lineage: Eukaryota; Metazoa; Chordata; Mammalia; Rodentia; Muridae.
UCUCUUGACUGGCACAUGAGCUGAUGCCU